UACGGAGGGUGCAAGCGUUGUCCGGAAUCACUGGGUGUAAAGGGUGUGUAGGCGGGGCAGUAAGUCAGUGGUGAAAGCCUGCGGCUCAACCGUAGAAUUGCCGUUGAUACUACUGCUCUUGAGUCCUGGAGAGGUCGCUGGAAUUCGUGGUGUAGCGGUGAAAUGCGUAGAUAUCACGAGGAACACCAGAGGUGUAGACGGGUGACUGGACAGGUACUGACGCUGAGGCACGAAAGCGUGGGGAGCAAACAGG
Molecule: ribosomal RNA, 253 nt
Filed under: uncultured bacterium
Lineage: Bacteria
Description: partial 16S ribosomal RNA
Rfam family: Bacterial small subunit ribosomal RNA
Source: RNAcentral